Long non-coding RNA from Haliotis rubra (blacklip abalone), 137 nucleotides. RefSeq lists it as uncharacterized. The record is from RefSeq and is a predicted model, not a curated record. NCBI's taxonomy places the organism in Eukaryota, Metazoa, Mollusca, Gastropoda, Lepetellida, Haliotidae. The transcript is spliced from 3 exons.
UCUAUUUCACCACGUUCUUCUUACCGAGUCACUUUCUCAGUUCGAUACUUAAAAGCAAUGUCAUUAUUUAGCGUUGACAGAAUAGCUAACUGUGACACGGAUAUGUCGUUGUCGCAGACAAAAUUCACAUGUCUUGU